This 969-nucleotide ribosomal RNA is filed under the name Triticum aestivum (bread wheat). RNAcentral's name for it is "partial small subunit ribosomal RNA". Lineage: Eukaryota; Viridiplantae; Streptophyta; Magnoliopsida; Poales; Poaceae. The record is from RNAcentral.
AUGGAUUCCCCCAAUCGUGUCCCGGAAGGUCGCUUCUCCUACGAGCACACCGGCAACGGCUGCUUCAUACCCUUCGGGUGCCGCCAUGGCCUCCAACUCAUCUUCCACCAAUCAGGGAAGCAGCUCCAUGUGCGGGACCCGUUCAACGGCGACAAGCGCCGCCUACCCGUUCCCCCGGGGUUCGAUGGCUGGGAGACCCCGAUCAGCGGAGCGGUGUUUCGCGCUGCCGGAGACAUCCAACACUUCCAGGUGGUCUUGGUAGGCACCGAGAGAAACAACCAACAUCAUACACGGGUAAUCGCCCGCGUCUACUCAUCGGAGACUGGCAUAUGGGGUAAUCUCAUGUCGACACCGCUUCCACCCAAGGCUUCGAGUUCUAUGGACCAACAUCCCACCAAGAUUAGAAUGUGGUUUACUAUCAGUGUGCUAGUUGGGCAUUCCCUUUACUGGUUGCUCACUAAUAUAUCGGCAGCAACCAACAUGUUGGAUGGCAUCCUUGAGUUUGAUUUGGAGAGGCAGACUCUAGCUGUGAUACCAGUGCCGGUGGAUAUUGCCAAUAAUUGUCUUAGCCAAUUUCAGGUUAUGCAGGCAGAGGGUGGUGGACUUGGUAUUUUCUUUCUAUCAAAAUUCAGUGCCCAACUAUGGAAGAUGGAGACUGAUUCUGAUGGUGUUGCUUCAUGGGUGCUGGGAAGAACUGUUGAACUGGACAAGCCACUUUCCCUGAAUCCAGAAGAGGAAGAGUCCCUAAUUAUAGGGGGGUUUGCUGAGUACAAUAAUGUUGUGUUCCUACAGACACCUACCAACUUCUUCAUGGUCCAGCUUGAGUCACUGCAGUUCAAGAAAGUUUCCAAGAGCAACAGCUUGACUCGCUAUGAUCCGUUUGAAAGUGUCUAUGUUGCAGAAUACCCCCUUGUAGGCACGGGUAUUGAUGGUGGACAUGAUGGAGCUGAAUUUUUUCGUAAUACGUAA